This is a long non-coding RNA of Gossypium arboreum, 464 nucleotides long. RefSeq lists it as uncharacterized. The transcript is spliced from 2 exons. NCBI's taxonomy places the organism in Eukaryota, Viridiplantae, Streptophyta, Magnoliopsida, Malvales, Malvaceae. The record is from RefSeq and is a predicted model, not a curated record.
AUAUAUAUAUAUAUAUAUAUAAAGUAAAAGGAAUAAAAAGAAAAAGAAUAGAAAAAGAAAGAAAUGAUCAAACGAAACAGAGAGCAGGGGAAAGAAAGAAGAAAGGUACAGAGAGCAGGGGAAAGAAAGAAGGAAGGAAAAAAGAAAGAAGGAAAGAUGGGAAAAUUGGGACUUCAAGGUUUGAAAGUUAAAUAGCUAACGUUGUCUCGGGAAAUCUCGGCUAAGCAAGAAAAAAUGACAAAGACAACGGGAGUUAACUCAAGAAAAUACGGUUUGUAUUUCUAUAAUCGAACUUAAUACUUAAAUUAUUGGAUAUAUAUAUAUAUAUAUAUAUAUAUAUAUAUAGUAGGUGUUUUGGGAUGAUUAUUUGAAUUGGAUUGAAUAUUGAUUAUAUUGAAUUAAUUUAUGAAUAUAUGUGAAUGUUUGAAUUGAAAUGAAUAUUGAUGUGGAAAUUGAAUAAUAAA